CUGCAUGGCUGUCGUCAGCUCGUGUCGUGAGAUGUUGGGUUAAGUCCCGCAACGAGCGCAACCCUUGUCCCUGGUUGCUACGCAAGAGCACUCUAGGGAGACUGCCGGUGACAAACCGGGGGAAGGUGGGGAUGACGUCAAGUCCUCAUGGACCUUAUGAGUAGGGCUUCACACGUCAUACAAUGGUCGGAACAGAGGGUCGCCAACCCGCGAGGGGGAGCCAAUCCCAGAAAACCGAUCGUAGUCCGGAUCGCACUCUGCAACUCGAGUGCGUGAAGCUGGAAUCGCUAGUAAUCGCGGAUCAGCAUGCCGCGGUGAAUACGUU
This 325-nucleotide ribosomal RNA is filed under the name uncultured bacterium. Its description in RNAcentral is "bacterial SSU rRNA". It matches the Rfam family "Bacterial small subunit ribosomal RNA", at positions 1041 to 1372 of the family's 1533-position model. The record is from RNAcentral.